ACAUGUAUUCGUGUUCCUGAAUAAGGUCGGAUAAUUGGGUUACUUAUAUGCAUAUUUAUAUGAAAGUGUUUGAAUAAGAGUUUUAUUAAAUAUGAAAAGUUAUGUCUCUGAAUAAGAUUAAUCAGAUUUUAGAAAUAACCCUCCAAUCUUAACUCAGAUUUUGUUAUCGAUAUUGAUAUCCAGACAAGUUUAGGGACAUUGUAGACCCUAACAUUAUUUUACUGAUUGAUUAUCUUUGAUUUACUGUGGUUAUUUAAGUUUUUGCAAAUUUAUUUGGUUUGAUAUUUUACUUUAAUCUACUCUCAUUCAAUUAUCACAUUUCAAAUAACAGUUUUCAGUAUAAUAAU
RNAcentral lists this long non-coding RNA (347 nucleotides) under Carica papaya (papaya). RNAcentral's name for it is "long non-coding RNA (CPAP_LNC001829)". Lineage: Eukaryota; Viridiplantae; Streptophyta; Magnoliopsida; Brassicales; Caricaceae. The record is from RNAcentral.